Molecule: non-coding RNA, 874 nt
Filed under: Paenibacillus rhizosphaerae
Lineage: Bacteria; Bacillati; Bacillota; Bacilli; Caryophanales; Paenibacillaceae
Description: Bacterial large subunit ribosomal RNA
Rfam family: Bacterial large subunit ribosomal RNA
Source: Rfam by way of RNAcentral
GAGCUGAUGGAUGCUCGUCCAAGCAGUGAGGCUGGUGUGUAGGCAAAUCCGCACACUUUAAGGCUGGGCUGUGACGGGGAGGGAAAAUUAUAGUACCGAAGGUCAUGAUCUCACACUGCCAAGAAAAGCCUCUAACCAGGUGAAGGUGCCCGUACCGCAAACCGACACAGGUAGGCGAGAAGAGAAUUCUAAGGCGCGCGGAAGAACUCUCGUUAAGGAACUCGGCAAAAUGACCCCGUAACUUCGGGAGAAGGGGUGCCCCGGUAGUGUGAAUAGCACGAGGGGGCCGCAGUGAAAAGGCCCAAGCGACUGUUUAGCAAAAACACAGGUCUGUGCGAAGCCGCAAGGCGAAGUAUACGGGCUGACGCCUGCCCGGUGCUGGAAGGUUAAGGGGAGCGGUUAGGGAGUAAUCCCGAAGCUGUGAACCGAAGCCCCAGUAAACGGCGGCCGUAACUAUAACGGUCCUAAGGUAGCGAAAUUCCUUGUCAGGUAAAUUCUGACCCGCACGAAUGGCGUAACGACUUGGGCGCUGUCUCAACGAGAGAUCCGGUGAAAUUUUAAUACCUGUGAAGAUGCAGGUUACCCGCGACAAGACGGAAAGACCCCAUGGAGCUUUACUGCAGCUUGAUAUUGGAUUUGGGUACGAUCUGUACAGGAUAGGUGGGAGCCUUUGAAACCUGAGCGCCAGCUUGGGUGGAGGCGCCGUUGGGAUACCACCCUGAUCGUAUCUAGGUUCUAACCUGGUACCGUAAUCCGGUAUGGGGACAGUGUCAGGUGGGCAGUUUGACUGGGGCGGUCGCCUCCUAAAGAGUAACGGAGGCGCCCCAAGGUUCCCUCAGAAUGGUUGGAAAUCAUUCGAAGAGUGCAAAGGCUG